GUCCAUGCCGUAAACGAUGGGCACUUGAUGUUGGAGGUAUUGACCCCUUCAGUGUCGAAGCUAACGCGAUAAGUGCCCCGCCUGGGGAGUACGGCCGCAAGGUUAAAACUCAAAGAAAUUGACGGGGGCCCGCACAAGCGGUGGAGCAUGUGGUUUAAUUCGAUGCAACGCGAAAACCUUACCUGGGCUCGAAAUGUAGUGGAAGACAGCAGAGAUGUUGUCGCCUUCGGGCCGCUACAUAGGUGCUGCAUGGCUGUCGU
Molecule: ribosomal RNA, 260 nt
Filed under: uncultured bacterium
Lineage: Bacteria
Description: partial 16S ribosomal RNA
Rfam family: Bacterial small subunit ribosomal RNA
Source: RNAcentral